GUAAUGCAUGGAGCUUACCGGUACUAAUCGGUCGUGAGGCUUAGCCACAAUAUUGGUGAUCUUUGAUUGCAGACCAGCGCUUUGGUUUUGUUUUGCUUGCAUAUAAAUAAAAUAAAAAAAUAACUCGACGCAUGAAUGAAUAAGGUGUAAAAGCCUUCAGUUCUUUUGAUAAAUUUAUACAUCGAAAUACAAUUUUCGGUGGCGAUGGCGUCAAGGUCACACCCGUUCCCAUCCCGAACACGGAAGUUAAGCUUGACUGCGCCGAUGGUACUGCAUGGGUGACUGUGUGGGAGAGUAGGACGCCGCCGGAU
Molecule: ribosomal RNA, 311 nt
Filed under: Desulfobotulus alkaliphilus
Lineage: Bacteria; Pseudomonadati; Thermodesulfobacteriota; Desulfobacteria; Desulfobacterales; Desulfobacteraceae
Source: RNAcentral